Long non-coding RNA from Alosa alosa (allis shad), 278 nucleotides. RefSeq lists it as uncharacterized. NCBI's taxonomy places the organism in Eukaryota, Metazoa, Chordata, Actinopteri, Clupeiformes, Clupeidae. The record is from RefSeq and is a predicted model, not a curated record. The transcript is spliced from 3 exons.
CGACAGCUAUUUUACACCUGCUUUCAAGCGCUCCCAAAAUAUGUAUGGCAGACGUCCACCUGGAUCUGCAAGAGAUCAAAGGUCCCAUCGUUCAAAAUGGACAAGGGUUUUCAGCUGUAUAUGUGCACUUAUAUACACAACUAUGAAGGGUGUGACGCCCGGACCCAUCAACUCCAUGGUCUUCACCAAGCCAGUACCAAAGCGAAGGGUACAGACUGGAGAGUGGAUUCUACAGAGGCCUGGUCUGGCCAUUACCUGAUCCCUGCAUGUUCAGAAUA